Molecule: non-coding RNA, 99 nt
Filed under: Janibacter cremeus
Lineage: Bacteria; Bacillati; Actinomycetota; Actinomycetes; Micrococcales; Intrasporangiaceae
Source: RNAcentral
GAGAGCCCGUUGCGUUGAAAGGCGCACGGCGGGUUCGGCGGGCGGUCCGGGGAAACGGAGCAGCAGCAAUGCCGCCACCGGCCCCCGGACCGACCCAAC